GUCAGAUUGUGCGCUUUGAGUAGGAUAUACGGCCUGGAAAAUGCGCGUUAUAAAUAUUCUCAUUAUUAUCAUUAAGCGUACAUAGAUGUACAAACCACUAAACAGUGUUAAAGUUAUCACUUCCACAAACACGUGAACUUUGGGUGCCUUUCAGUCAUUCUACAAAUAUUGUGUCAGAGUGGCGACAACCAGAGGAUCAGAUAUUGACGUAAAAGUCAGAAAUAUUGUCUUCUUGGAUGUUCCAAGGUCUUCCAACGGGUAUGUUACCAGCAAACCUGUAUACGUCCCUACUGCCAAGAAUUCACUCAACCAAACAAACUAUUGUAGACAUAGCAGGUCUUCGGUGAGUGAAGAACAGUGUAUAUAUGUCACAUAUGUCGAUCCGUUCAAUAACUAUUCGCUGUUUGUCGUCACUGCAGUAGUCAUGUGUUCGGGACAUGUGUCAGCUGGUCAUUCUAAACACAGACCAGGUGUCAUUCUUGGCGUGGAUAUAUUUUAGUUCACAUUUUCCAUGACCAUUUCGAAACGUUGGUUCUAUAUUUGAGCAAAUGUAUUGGUAUAAAAUAUUUGAACUGUUGUCUAGACGUCAGUUCUGAGACUACUGCCAGGUUGACAACAUCCUUACUACGUCUACGACUGUGACACCGACAUCAGCACACCUACCUGAAAAUGUCACUUCACGAUCUCAACAAAAAUUGGAAAACUGGGUAAAAAAACAUGGCGGCUUUUCCGAAGAUGACUUGAAAAAGGGUCUGGUUCGGUUUGAAAUCGACACAAAAAAACUCCGAGUGAUCACUACAGACAAACCACCUGACCCAAAAGAUGAAGGAGGACAAAGACAAGAAAGAAGAAUCUGACAAAGACAA
This is a long non-coding RNA of Haliotis rubra (blacklip abalone), 866 nucleotides long. RefSeq lists it as uncharacterized. The record is from RefSeq and is a predicted model, not a curated record. Lineage: Eukaryota; Metazoa; Mollusca; Gastropoda; Lepetellida; Haliotidae. The transcript is spliced from 2 exons.